GAGGGUAUAGCUCUAGUGGUAGAGCACAUGCUUAGCACGCAUGAGGUCCUGGGUUCAAUCCCCAGCACCUCCU
RNAcentral lists this transfer RNA (73 nucleotides) under Camelus bactrianus (Bactrian camel). It matches the Rfam family "tRNA". From Rfam's summary of the family: Transfer RNA (tRNA) molecules are approximately 80 nucleotides in length. Their secondary structure includes four short double-helical elements and three loops (D, anti-codon, and T loops). RNAcentral also lists the same sequence under 2 other names. The record is from Rfam by way of RNAcentral. Lineage: Eukaryota; Metazoa; Chordata; Mammalia; Artiodactyla; Camelidae.